Molecule: unclassified non-coding RNA, 2199 nt
Filed under: Leishmania donovani
Lineage: Eukaryota; Euglenozoa; Kinetoplastea; Trypanosomatida; Trypanosomatidae
Description: gene:LdHU3.34.3770(CDS-product:hypothetical_prote in_conserved)
Source: RNAcentral
CGGUGAAACGCGGUAGGAGAUCAUUUAGUAUCGUCAAAAAGACAGCGAGGUGGGGUGCUUCGCCGCCAAGCACGACAGCCGCGCGAAUCCCAUACACCAUUCCGCGCACUGGGACAAAAAAAUACAGAAGAAUAACUGCGGAAGAGAUAACAAGGACAGGAGGCGCUCGGGUGUCUGUCGCGCACCUUAACUCACGCAGCACCGGCGGCACGUCGAGUGGCUGUGAUUUUUCUCAUCAAUCUCCUCUGCAUCUCCUCUUGUUCAUUUUUUUGUACGUCGUAUUGCUAGUUGUGCUCUUCACUUCGAAAUACAUUUUUGAACUCCGCUGCCUCUUUCCCCCCUCAGUUUGUGACUUUGCCUUCUCCUUAGUGCCACGUGUGCCUCACUGUGCGAGCUCGCGAGGAGCGAUCCGCUCCGCCUUCCCCAUGAACGCGAACUCCCCUCGACGUACACCGAUACCCAAACGUCUGCUCAAGGACUAAAUCGGAUGCUAACGGCAGAAAGGCAACCCUUAACACGCAUCAAGCGCUUUUUUUUUGGGGGGGAGCACCUCUCCCCUUGUGCUAGCGUUCUUUUUCGACCUUUUCGUUAUCGAACGUGGGCCGCUGCUUUAGUCCUUCCUUUUUUUCGCUCGUCGCGUGUGUUUCUUGGGCCGUGCAUGUCGCACUAUGCUUAGAGAGUCAGCUUCGAGCUCGCAAGGUGGCGAAGGCGGGGGAGGCGGACUCACGGGCGAGAACGCUUUCAGUCGAUCGGCCUUCUUGCCGGCCUGGGUGCCCCCCGAAGCCUCCACCCUACAUCAGCGAUCGGCAUCGCUCACACCUCAACUGAACUCAACAACUUGCUCGCCCCUGCUGGGCCUUCGCCGCUCAAAUGCGUCUAAGAUGGCCGGGCAUGGUGACGAUGGCUUGCGCGGAGCGGGGGCCAGCGCAUCACCACAGCCGCCUCUGGGGAACCCUCGCUUCGGCUUGUCGCCGCAGAGAGCGUCGACAUCACUGAACAUGCCGUCGCCACCACUCAGCAGUAUGUAUUACUCGCCGCAGGUGCCGCCAGCGCAGCGCUCAGGAUUAUCGAUUACGCCCACCGUUGCCUCGUUCAUGUCGUCUUCCUCUUCCCAUUCCCCUACCGCCGCGCGGGUGCUGAUGAGCGCCGCGGCUUCGCAGUCGCCGUCGCGCCGCCCAGUACGAUUGGCGCUCGGGGCCUUCUGCAUGUUAAAUGCGGUUAUCGCUUUCCUGUUCACGUGGAUGAUGUGCACGCAGCAGAUCGGCUUUGCGCUGACGGCGGCAAAGCGGCGGUGGGACCUCAAGGAGCGAUCUGGCGCGACCUGCACGGCUGGCGUCUAUUACUUAAUCAUCGGGCUUGUGCUGCUUAUAGACCGACUAAGCUCGACUGUUGCCGUGGUUGCUCAACUAGGCGUACGGCUCGUGAGGGCCGGCUUUCCGUCGAUUCUUCGCUGGUUGAUGUGGUGCGUUAGUAGAAUAGCAGCGUCGAGGGUUUGUGUUCCACUGCUGCGCCGCUUAGCCCCACACGCCGCCAUCGCCUCGUCUGAGAAUUACCGGGUGCUAAUGCGAAGCAAGUCGGCGCGGCCUCUUCGGUCUUCUAGUGCAGCCGUUCCUGCUGUUGGUGCGCCGACGGCGCUCUCGGGCCAUGGGCUACUGCCACGCUUUUCAUGCAGCCAGAUGGGCUCCUCGUUUCAGUGUUCGCAGACGAACUCGAUGCGCGAAUCCAUGGCCGAUUCGGAGGUGGAUAGGCGACCGUGCUCCGCCACCGCUGCAUCACUGAGUAUUCGGCGACGCGGUGGCUGACAUUGUCGAUGCAUGGCCCGUGUAGCGGCGUGAUCGUCCCUGCUGUAAGCUGCCCCGACGGCGCUGACUUUGCAGCAAUGUGAUCAUGCUCUCCUCUGGUGCAUCUCCUCGUGCCACGGCGUGGGGCGACUUUGUGUUGUUUUGCUUCGUUUCCGUUCUCUUUGUUGCUCACAUCCACCUAACAGUAGCGGCCGCUCUCUUGUACAUGCCUUGCUUCGUCUUUGUGUGUUCCUUUGAUGUAUGCGUGUGGAUGUAUGUUUCUGACGCAUCACCAGUGCGUCUUCCUCUCCCCGUGACAGAGUCUCGUGCGAGGGCCCGAGCUCGAGCGUUGCCUGCUCUCGCCUCCUCCCCCUCUUCGUCCAUCAUACAUAGUCGCGCAUUGCCUUUGGGCGAUUUC